CCGGGUUAAAGCGAUUCUCCAGCUUCAGUCUCCCAAGUAGCUGGGAUUACAGGCACGCACCACCACACUUGGCUAAUGUCUGAUGUGCUCUCACUAAGAAACAGAUGCCCUGCCCAGAAGCAACACGGCUAAUGGGUGCCACCGUGGAGACCCAGGCAACCUGAGAGUAGUCCUGACAGCCAGACCUCCAGGGUGGAAAUGGGAAGGUCUACAGAGAAAGUGGGAGACAUGAAACUAAACAGGAAUGAUACAUUGACAAUAAAGAACAUGAAGAGAUGGUUCCUGGACACUACAAGAAACCUGUGGUCCCAGCUACUCGAAGACUGAAGUGAGAGGAUCACUUGAGCCCAGAAGGUCGAUGCUACAGUGAGCCAUGAUCAUGCCACUAUACUCCAGCCUAGGUGACAGA
RNAcentral lists this long non-coding RNA (409 nucleotides) under Homo sapiens (human). The record is from RNAcentral. Lineage: Eukaryota; Metazoa; Chordata; Mammalia; Primates; Hominidae.